Molecule: ribosomal RNA, 253 nt
Filed under: uncultured bacterium
Lineage: Bacteria
Description: partial 16S ribosomal RNA
Rfam family: Bacterial small subunit ribosomal RNA
Source: RNAcentral
UACGUAGGGUGCAAGCGUUGUCCGGAAUUAUUGGGCGUAAAGAGCUCGUAGGCGGUCUGUCGCGUCGGCUGUGAAAACCCGGAGCUCAACUCCGGGCCUGCAGUCGAUACGGGCAGACUGGAGUUCGGCAGGGGAGACUGGAAUUCCUGGUGUAGCGGUGAAAUGCGCAGAUAUCAGGAGGAACACCGGUGGCGAAGGCGGGUCUCUGGGCCGAUACUGACGCUGAGGAGCGAAAGCGUGGGGAGCGAAUAGG